GACGAACGCUGGCGGCGUGCUUAACACAUGCAAGUCGAACGGAAAGGCCCUGCUUUUGUGGGGUGCUCGAGUGGCGAACGGGUGAGUAACACGUGAGUAACCUGCCCUUGACUUUGGGAUAACUUCAGGAAACUGGGGCUAAUACCGGAUAGGAGCUCCUGCUGCAUGGUGGGGGUUGGAAAGUUUCGGCGGUUGGGGAUGGACUCGCGGCUUAUCAGCUUGUUGGUGGGGUAGUGGCUUACCAAGGCUUUGACGGGUAGCCGGCCUGAGAGGGUGGCCGGCCACAUUGGGACUGAGAUACGGCCCAGACUCCUACGGGAGGCAGCAGCGGGGAAUAUUGCACAAUGGGCGGAAGCCUGAUGCAGCAACGCCGCGUGCGGGAUGACGGCCUUCGGGUUGUAAACCGCUUUCGCCUGUGACGAAGCGUGAGUGACGGUAAUGGGUAAAGAAGCACCGGCUAACUACGUG
Molecule: ribosomal RNA, 468 nt
Filed under: uncultured bacterium
Lineage: Bacteria
Description: partial 16S ribosomal RNA
Rfam family: Bacterial small subunit ribosomal RNA
Source: RNAcentral